This 1182-nucleotide long non-coding RNA is filed under the name Felis catus (domestic cat). RNAcentral describes it as "lncRNA (ENSFCAG00000049587.1)". The record is from RNAcentral. Lineage: Eukaryota; Metazoa; Chordata; Mammalia; Carnivora; Felidae.
AGCCACUAUGGUACAAAGUAGGGAGUUUCCUUAAAAAACUAAAAAUAAAACUACCAUGCGAUCCAGUAAUUCCACUCUGGGUUUUUAUCCAAAGAAAGUUAUUUUUUUUUAUUUUUUUUUUCAACGUUUAUUUAUUUUUGAGACAGAGAGAGACACAGACAGAGACAGACACAGACACAGAGACAGACACAGACACAGAGACAGACACAGACACAGAGACAGACACAGACACAGAGACAGACACAGACACAGAGACAGACACAGACACAGAGACAGACACAGACACAGAGACAGACACAGACACAGAGACAGACACAGACACAGAGACAGACACAGACACAGAGACAUACACAAACACAUACACAUAUACAUACACAAACACAUACACAUACAUAUACAUAUACAUACACAUACAUAUACAUACACAUACAUAUACAUACACAUACACAUAUACAUACACAAACACAUACACAUAUAUAUACAUAUACAUACACAUACACGCACAUACAUACACACAUACAUAUACAUACACAAACACAUACACAUACACAUAUACAUAUACAUACACAUACAUAUACAUACACAUACACAUACACAUAUACAUACACAUACAUAUACAUAUACACAUACACAUAUACAUAUACAUACACAUACACAUAUACAUAUACACAUACACAUACAUACACAUACACAUAUACAUACACAUACAUAUAUGCAUACACAUACAUAUAUAUACACAUACAUAUACAUACACAUACACAUAUACAUACACAAACACAUACACAUAUACAUACACAUACAUAUACAUACACAUACACAUACACAACACAUACACAUAACAUACACAUACACAUAUAUAUACAUAUACAUAACAUACACAUAUACAUACACAAACACAUACACAUACAUAUACAUAUACAUAUACAUAUACAUAACAUACACAUACACAUAUACAUAUACAUACACAUACAUAUACAUAUACACAUACACAUAUACAUAUACAUACACAUACACAUAUACAUACACAUACACAUAUACAUAUACACAUACACAUAUACAUACACAUACACAUACACAUACACAUACAUAUACAUAUACACAUACAUAUACAUAUACAUACACAUACACAUACACAUACACAUAUAUACAUAUACAUACACAUACACAUAUAUAUACAUAUAC